UGCAAGUCGAGCGGCAGCGACACAUUGAACCUUCGGGGGAUUUGUUGGGCCUUGAGCGGCGGACGGGUGAGUAAUGCCUGGGAAAUUGCCAUGUAUGUGGGGGAUAACCAUUGGAGACGAUGGCUAAUACCGCAUGAUAGCUUCGGCUCAAAGAGGGGGACCUUCGGGCCUCUCGCGUCAGGAUAUGCCCAGGUGGGAUUAGCUAGUUGGUGAGGUAAGGGCUCACCAAGGCGACGAUCCCUAGCUGGUCUGAGAGGAUGAUCAGCCACACUGGAACUGAGACACGGUCCAGACUCCUACGGGAGGCAGCAGUGGGGAAUAUUGCACAAUGGGCGCUAGCCUGAUGCAGCCAUGCCGCGUGUAUGAAGAAGGCCUUCGGGUUGUAAAGUACUUUCAGCAGUGAGGAAGGAGGUGUCGUUAAUAGCGGUAUCUUUUGACGUUAGCUGCAGAAGAAGCACCGGCUAACUCCGUGCCAGCAGCCGCGGUAAUACGGAGGGUGCGAGCGUUAAUCGGAAUUACUGGGCGUAAAGCGCAUGCAGGUGGUUUGUUAAGUCAGAUGUGAAAGCCCGGGGCUCAACCUCGGAAUUGCAUUUGAAACUGGCAGGCUAGAGUACUGUAGAGGGGGGUAGAAUUUCAGGUGUAGCGGUGAAAUGCGUAGAGAUCUGAAGGAAUACCGGUGGCGAAGGCGGCCCCCUGGACAGAUACUGACACUCAGAUGCGAAAGCGUGGGGAGCAAACAGGAUU
RNAcentral lists this ribosomal RNA (744 nucleotides) under uncultured bacterium. Its description in RNAcentral is "bacterial SSU rRNA". It matches the Rfam family "Bacterial small subunit ribosomal RNA", at positions 56 to 779 of the family's 1533-position model. The record is from RNAcentral.